This 301-nucleotide ribosomal RNA is filed under the name uncultured bacterium. Its description in RNAcentral is "partial 16S ribosomal RNA". It matches the Rfam family "Bacterial small subunit ribosomal RNA", at positions 509 to 809 of the family's 1533-position model. The record is from RNAcentral.
CAGCAGCCGCGGUAAUACGAAGGGGGCUAGCGUUGUUCGGAAUUACUGGGCGUAGAGCGCGUGCAGGCGGGUCCUUAAGUCAGGGGUGAAAUGCCAAGGCUCAACCUUGGAACUGCCUUUGAUACUGGGGAUCUUGAGUCCGGGAGAGGUGAGUGGAACUGCGAGUGUAGAGGUGAAAUUCGUAGAUAUUCGCAAGAACACCAGUGGCGAAGGCGGCUCACUGGCCCGGAACUGACGCUGAGACGCGAAAGCUAGGGGAGCAAAUGGGAUUAGAUACCCCAGUAGUCCCUGUCUCUUAUAA